Cajanus cajan (pigeon pea) is the source of this 3490-nucleotide non-coding RNA. The record is from RefSeq and is a predicted model, not a curated record. NCBI's taxonomy places the organism in Eukaryota, Viridiplantae, Streptophyta, Magnoliopsida, Fabales, Fabaceae.
GUCCAUGAUUAUUGGCUUUUUGGGUCUCACAGGGAAGUCAAGUAGUUGAAGUGUGGUUGGCUAUGGAAGGCAAUGUCUAUCUUAUCAAAUGAUAUAGUGGGAUCUUCAAUAUUAGUUUUUGAAGUUGUUUAAGCAUAUGGAUUGGAUUAUGAACCUCUUUUCUUGCUUUGUAGGGUUUUGUGGUUUUUGUUAUGUUCUAUAGGCCCAUCCAACCUCAUCCAUCAUUCGGUGAAUUCUUCCUUGGAUUUUGAAGUCUUAAAUUUGUCUUUUGACUCUACCUUUCCAUUGUUCCUAUGAUUCUAAGCUUUUUCCUUGAUUUUUUAUUUUUAUGGUCUCACAGGGGCUUCAAGUAGUCGAAGUGUGGUUGGCUAUGGAAGGCCGUGUAUCUUAUCAAAUGAUAUAGUGGGAUCUUUAAAAUUAGUUGUUGUAUUUGGUUGUGCAUAUGGAUUAGAUUAUGAACCUCUUUUCUUGCAUUAUAGGGUUUUGUGGUUUUUUGUUAUGUUCUGCAUGGCCCACUCAAGCUUAUCCAUGAAUGGGUGAUCUCUUCCUUGGAUUUUGAAGAAUUAAUUUUUUCUUUUGAUUCUACCUUUGGUUUGGUAUGAUACUAAACCUUUUCCAUGGUUUCUACUUUGGUUCUCACUGUGGUUUUUUGUUAUGUUCUGCAUGGCCCAUCCAGCCUCAUUCAUCACUUGGCGAUCUAUUCCUUGGAUUUUGAAGCCUUAAAUUUUUCUUUUGAUUCUACCUUUGGUUUGGUACGAUUCUAAACCUUUUCCAUGGUCUCUAAUUUGGGUCUAAGGGGUGUCAAGUAGAUGAACUGUGGUUGGCUAUGGAAGGCAGUGUCUUUCUUAUCAAAUGAUAAGGUUGGAUCUUCAAUGUUAGUUUUUGAAUUUGGUUGUGCAUAUUGAUUGGGUUAUGAACCUCGUUUUUAUUUUUUUGCAUUGUUGGGUAUUGUGGUUUUUUGUUAUGUUCUGCAGGGUCCAUCCAACCUCAUCCAUGAUUUGGUGAUCUCUUCCUUGCAUUUUGUUGUCUUAAAGUUGUCUUUUGAUUCUACUUUUUGUAUGGUUUGGUAUGAUUCUAAACCUUUCCCAUGGUUUGUACUUUGGGUCUUACAGGGAAGCCAAGUAGUCGAAGUGUUGUUGGCUAUGGAAGGCAGUGUCUAUCUUAUCAAAUGGUAUAGUGGGGUCUUAAGUAUUUAGUUUUUGAAUUUGGUGUUGCUUAUCAAUUGGGUUAUAAACCUCUUUUCUUGGAUUGUAGGGUCUUUUUACUUAUUUAUUUAUGUUCUGCAUGGCCCAUCCAACCUCAUCCAUGAUUUGGUGAUUUUUUCGUUGGAUUUUGAGUCUUAAAUUUGUCUUUUGAUUCUACAUUUCCUUUGGUUUGGUAUGAUUCUAAACCUUUUCGAUUAUUUCUGCUUUGGGUCUCGCAGGGAAGUCAAGUAGUCGAAGUGUGGUUGGCUAAGGAAGGCAGUGUCUAUCUUAUCAAAUGAUAUAGCAGGAUCUUUAGUUUUUGAAUUUGGUUGUGCUUUUGGAUUGGAUUAUGGGCCUCUUUUUUUUUUUUUUUUUUUUUUUUGCAUUUAUAGGCUGUUGUUUUUUUUGUGUUCUGCAUGGCUCAUCCAGCCUCAUCCAUGAAUUGGUGAUCUCUUCCUUGGAUUUUGAGUCUUAAAUUUGUCUUUUGAUUCUACCUUUCCUUUGGUUUGGUUUGAUUCUAAACCUUUUCCAUGAUUUCUCUUUGGGUCUCACAGGGAAGUCAAGUAAUUGAAGUGUGGUUGGCUAUGAAAGGCAGUGUCUAUCUUAUCAAAUGAUAUAGUGGAAUCUUCUGUAUUAGUUUUAAAUUUGGUUGUGUAUAUGGAUUGGGUUAUGAAACUCUUUUCUUGCAUUGUAGGAUAUUGUGGUUUUUUGUUAUGUUCUGCAUGGCCUAUCAAACCUUAUCCAGGAUUUGGUGAUCUCGCUUGGAUUUUGAAGUCUUAAAUUUUUCUUUUCAUUCUACCUUUUCUUUGGUCCGGUAUGAUUCUAAACUUUUUUCAUGAUUACUGCUUUGGGUCUCACUGGAUAGUCAAAGUAGUUGAAGUUUGGUUGGCUAUGGAAGGCAGUGUCUAUCUUAUCAAAUGAUUUAGUGAUUUCAACUAUUGAUUGUGAAUUCUUGGAUCUGUCUUUUGUUUCUUAUUUUUAUUAGAUUCAGGAUUUAUUUUUUUUAUUUCUCCCUUUUUUAAUAUUGGGUUUGACAUGGAAGUCUAGUGAAUGCGUGGGGGCUGGCUUUGGAUACCGUGGUUCGUUUUGUAUUUACUUCUCCAUGAAUAUGUUGUCGAAGCAGUGGCAGGAGAGAAUUCAUGGGACGACAAUGUAUACUGUUAGAAUAGUGGAUCAAGCCUAACUCAACCCUAUAAAACCGGUUUGUAAGCACUAUCAAGCUUGGUACGUGGAUAAAUGGUGGGUGGCCUUUUUUAAUGAUCUAGGAUUGGCGGGACUUGGUUUUUCCCAAUACACCCCCUCACACCUAUGAGACAUGCAUCAAUGGGUUGCCUGGCAGUGUCAAUGCGCUCGAGUUCUUCUGUAUUUGAAGAAUCCAUAUAUUUGGAACUCUAGAUUCUAAAUGGGACUGGAAUUAAAUUAUGGGACAUCUUGGUUAGUGUCUGUAUAAUAUAUGCAAAGAUAUUGUCUCGGUUAGUGUCUUAAUAUCUCUUGUUAAAGUAUGAGACAGCUCGGUUAGUGUACUUAUAUAAAGCAAAGUGAUGCAUUUGUUGUGAAUGCAGUGGCAGGAGUGUGUUGACUGGGACGACACUAUGUAAACCCUUAUGUUAGAUCAUCUGCAAUCAUUUUCAGAAUGUUCAAUUCUGCAAAAACCAUCUUCUUUCAUGGGUUUAGGAUAAGGUUGUUUUGUAUGUGUAGGGUAACCUGGGAGUGUCGGAUGGGCUGGAGUUAUUCUGCAUCUGAAGAAUCCAUGUAUCAGAAACUCUAGAUUCUAAAUGGGGCUGGAAUUAAAGUAUAAUACAACUCGGUUAGUGUCUUUAUCUGUUUGUUUGGGGUAUUAUGCCAGUCUGGUUGCAUGACUUUAUAAAAUGGAUAUCCAGUUCAUCAAAGCAAUGCCGGAGCUUAAAUGUUUUUGAAGAAUUAAUAUGAUACCUGUGUUCUCAAAUCAUAUAUAAUGGGGACAGCUUGGUUAGGUCUUCGUCACUUAAUUAUGGGUCUUGGUUUGAAGAAUUAUGCUAUUAUUUCAUUGUUUGAUAAGUUGUAUCAAUCAAUGUGUGUCUUCUCCUUAUUGGAUGUACGUUUCUCAGUUCAGAACAUGCAUUUGGUAUUUGAAGUGUGGAGUGCUAAUAUUCUACUGUAUCCUGAAAUGUAGAAGAAUGUCUUAGAUCUGUGUACUGAUCUGAAUCUUGUUUUGGAGAAGCUUGUGAUUCCAUUUUGAAGCUCACUCUAGGCAUUUAUUGAGAGAUGUAUUGAUUAUAUAUUGUUUAUUUCUAAUUUAAGAAAGUGUGCAUUUUGUUUAUUUUUAA